CAAUAGCGUAUAUUAAAGUUGUUGCAGUUAAAAAGCUCGUAGUUGGAUUUCUGGGAGAGUGCCAAUGUCCGCCGACGUGCGUGCGCAGCGGCGCUCUUUCAUCCUUCUGUAAACGUCGGGAAGUUUAUUCGUCCGCGGCGGGAUCAGUUAAUUUACCUUGAGAAAAUUAGAGUGUUUCAGGCAGGCGUAGCCGGAAUACAUUAGCAUGGAAUAAUGGAAUAGGACUUAGUCUCUUUGUUGGUUCGAGGGACUGGAGUAAUGAUUAAUAGGGAUAGUUGGGGGCAUUAGUAUUUAUUAGCUAGAGGUGGAAUUCUCUAAAUUUGAUAAAGACUAACUUAUGCGAAAGCAUUUGCCAAGGAUGUUUUCAUUAAUCAAGAACGAAAGUUAGGGGAUCAAAGAUGAUUAGAUACCA
RNAcentral lists this ribosomal RNA (412 nucleotides) under uncultured eukaryote. Its description in RNAcentral is "bacterial SSU rRNA". It matches the Rfam family "Eukaryotic small subunit ribosomal RNA", at positions 592 to 1017 of the family's 1831-position model. The record is from RNAcentral.